RNA transcript from Triticum dicoccoides, 1719 nucleotides. It is a transcript of the gene named photosystem II protein D1-like, with no coding region annotated. Lineage: Eukaryota; Viridiplantae; Streptophyta; Magnoliopsida; Poales; Poaceae. The record is from RefSeq and is a predicted model, not a curated record. The transcript has a single exon.
UUGGUUGACAUUGGUAUAUAGUCUAUGUUAUACUGUUAAAUAACAAGCCUUCUAUUAUCUAUAUUCUAGUUAAUACGUGUGCUUGGGAGUCCUUGCAAUUUGAAUAAACCAAGAUCUUACCAUGACUGCAAUUUUAGAGAGACGCGAAAGUACAAGCCUGUGGGGUCGCUUCUGCAACUGGAUAACUAGCACUGAAAAUCGUCUUUACAUCGGAUGGUUCGGUGUUUUGAUGAUCCCUACCUUAUUGACCGCAACUUCUGUAUUUAUUAUCGCCUUCAUCGCUGGCCCUCCAGUAGAUAUUGAUGGUAUUCGUGAGCCUGUUUCUGGUUUUUUACUUUAUGGAAACAAUAUUAUCUCUGGUGCUAUUAUCCCUACUUUUGCGGCGAUCGGAUUGCACUUUUACCCAAUUUGGGAAGCUGCAUCUGUUGAUGAGUGAUUAUACAAUGGUGGUCCUUAUGAGCUAAUUGUUCUACACUUCUUACUUGGUGUAGCUUGUUAUAUGGGUCGUGAGUGGGAACUUAGUUUCCGUCUGGGUAUGCGUCCUUGGAUUGUUGUUGCAUAUUCAGCUCCUGUUGCAGCUGCUACUGCUGUUUUCUUGAUUUACCCUAUUGGUCAAGGAAGCUUUUCUGAUGGUAUGCCUUUAGGAAUAUCUGUCACUUUCAACUUUAUGAUUGUAUUCCAGGCAGAGCACAACAUCCUUAUGCAUCCAUUCCACAUGUUAGGUGUGGCUGGUGUAUUCAGCGGUUCCCUAUUCAGUGCUAUGCAUGGUUCCUUGGUAACCUCUAGUUUGAUCAGGGAAACUACUGAAAAUGAAUCUGCUAAUGAGGGUUACAAAUUUGGUCAAGAGGAAGAAACUUAUAAUAUUGUAGCUGCUCAUGGUUAUUUUGGCCGAUUAAUCUUCCAAUAUGCUAGUUUCAACAACUCUCGUUCUUUACACUUCUUCUUGGCUGCUUGGCCUGUAGUAGGAAUCUGUUUCAUUGCUUUAGGUAUUAGUACUAUGGCUUUCAACCUAAAUGGUUUCAAUUUCAACCAAUCUGUAGUUGAUAGUCAAGGUCGCGUUAUUAAUACUUGGGCUGAUAUCAUCAACCGUGCUAACCUUGGUAUGGAAGUAAUGCACGAACGUAAUGCUCACAACUUCCCUCUAGACUUAGCUGAUGUUGAAGUUCCAUCUAUUAAUGGAUAAGGUUUUUCUGCUAACAUAUAAGAAUUUUUGAAGAAAGAAAAGACAGAAAUACCCAAUAUCUUGUUCUAGCAAGAUAUUGGGUAUUUCUGUCUUUAUUUUGAAUCUUUUUUUUCUUCUUAAUCUUUCUAUUCAGAAUUAAGUUAACGACGAGAUUUAGUAUCCUUUCUUGCAUUUUCAUAACUCAUGAAAUGCCGAGUAGGCACGAAUUCCCCCAAUUUGCGACCUACCAUAGGAUUUGUUAUGUAAAUAGGUAUAUGUUCCUUUCCAUUAUGACUCGCGAUUGUAUGGCCAACCAUUGUGGGUAGAAUGCUAGAUGCCCGGGACCACGUUACUAGUGUUUCUUUCUCCUCCUUCAUAUUGACCUUUUCUAUCUUUGCCAAUAAAUGAUGAGCUACAAAAGGAUUCGUUUUUUUCGUGUCACAGCUGAUUACUCCUUUUUUCCUUUUUAAAGAGUGGCAUUCUAUGUCCAAUAUCUCGAUCGAAGUACGGAGGUCAGAAUAAAUAGAAUAAUGAUCAAUGGAAAAAAGAAAAAAAAA